This 279-nucleotide ribosomal RNA is filed under the name uncultured bacterium. RNAcentral describes it as "partial 16S ribosomal RNA". It matches the Rfam family "Bacterial small subunit ribosomal RNA", at positions 506 to 784 of the family's 1533-position model. The record is from RNAcentral.
UGCCAGCAGCCGCGGUAAUACGGAGGGUGCAAGCGUUGUUCGGAAUCACUGGGCGUAAAGCGCGUGUAGGCGGCUAUGCAAGUCAGAUGUGAAAGCCCUCGGCUCAACCGAGGAAGUGCAUUUGAAACUGCGUAGCUAGAGUACGAGAGAGGGGAGUGGAAUUCCUAGUGUAGAGGUGAAAUUCGUAGAUAUUAGGAGGAACACCAGAGGCGAAGGCGACUCCCUGGCUCGAUACUGACGCUGAGACGCGAAAGCGUGGGGAGCAAACAGGAUUAGAUA